RNAcentral lists this ribosomal RNA (253 nucleotides) under uncultured bacterium. RNAcentral's name for it is "partial 16S ribosomal RNA". It matches the Rfam family "Bacterial small subunit ribosomal RNA", at positions 524 to 776 of the family's 1533-position model. The record is from RNAcentral.
UACGUAGGGGGCGAGCGUUGUCCGGAUUUAUUGGGCGUAAAGAGCGUGUAGGCGGCCAGACAGGUCCGUUGUGAAAACUGGAGGCUCAACCUCCAGCUGUCGAUGGAAACCGUUUGGCUAGAGUCCGGAAGAGGAGAGUGGAAUUCCCGGUGUAGCGGUGAAAUGCGCAGAUAUCGGGAAGAACACCGGUGGCGAAGGCGGGUCUCUGGGCAUUAACUGACGCUGAGGAGCGAAAGCAUGGGGAGCGAACAGG